GUGAGGGAAUGGGUGACUAGUGGCAGAGUGAGGGAGGGAAGGGGUGACUAGUGACAGAGUGAGGGGAUGACUGGUGACAGAGUGAGGGGGGGUGACUGUCACUAGUCACCCCAUCCCUCUCUCUGUCACUAGUUACUCCCUCCCUAACUCUGUCACUGUGUCACCCGCUCCCUCACUCUGUCACUAGUCACCCCCUUACUCUGUCACUGUGUUACCCCUCCCUCUGUCACUAGUCACCCCCUCCCUCAC
Molecule: non-coding RNA, 249 nt
Organism: Pelobates cultripes (western spadefoot toad)
Lineage: Eukaryota; Metazoa; Chordata; Amphibia; Anura; Pelobatidae
Source: the annotation of a GenBank genome assembly